This 406-nucleotide unclassified non-coding RNA is filed under the name soil metagenome. RNAcentral's name for it is "partial contains 5.8S ribosomal RNA, internal transcribed spacer 2, and large subunit ribosomal RNA". The stretch from base 1 to 121 matches the Rfam family "5.8S ribosomal RNA", at positions 35 to 154 of the family's 154-position model. The record is from RNAcentral.
GAUGAAGAACGCAGCGAAAUGCGAUAAGUAAUGUGAAUUGCAGAAUUCAGUGAAUCAUCGAAUCUUUGAACGCACCUUGCGCCCUUUGGCCAUUCCGAAGGGCAUGCCUGUUUGAGUAUCAUGAACACCUCAACUCUUCAUGGUUUUCCAUGAUGAGCUUGGACUUUGGGGGUCUUGCUGGCCUGUGGGUCGGCUCCUCUCAAAUGAAUCAGCUUGCCGGUUUUUGGUGGGCAUCACAGGUGUGAUAACUAUCUACGCUUGUGGUUUUCCACCAGGGUAACCUUCAGCAGUGGAGGUUCACUGGAGCUUACAAAUGUCUCUCCUCUGUGAGGGCAGCCCUUUGAAUGUUUGAUCUCAAAUCAGGUAGGACUACCCGCUGAACUUAAGCAUAUCAAUAAGCGGAGGA